RNAcentral lists this ribosomal RNA (733 nucleotides) under Halomonas sp. AH41. Its description in RNAcentral is "bacterial SSU rRNA". It matches the Rfam family "Bacterial small subunit ribosomal RNA", at positions 89 to 818 of the family's 1533-position model. The record is from RNAcentral. Lineage: Bacteria; Pseudomonadati; Pseudomonadota; Gammaproteobacteria; Oceanospirillales; Halomonadaceae.
CGUCGAGCGGCGGACGGGUGAGUAAUGCAUAGGAAUCUGCCCGGUAGUGGGGGAUAACCUGGGGAAACUCAGGCUAAUACCGCAUACGUCCUACGGGAGAAAGCAGGGGAUCUUCGGACCUUGCGCUAUCGGAUGAGCCUAUGUCGGAUUAGCUUGUUGGUGAGGUAACGGCUCACCAAGGCGACGAUCCGUAGCUGGUCUGAGAGGAUGAUCAGCCACAUCGGGACUGAGACACGGCCCGAACUCCUACGGGAGGCAGCAGUGGGGAAUAUUGGACAAUGGGCGCAAGCCUGAUCCAGCCAUGCCGCGUGUGUGAAGAAGGCUUUCGGGUUGUAAAGCACUUUCAGUGAGGAAGAAGGCCUCGGGGCUAAUACCCCCGAGGAAGGACAUCACUCACAGAAGAAGCACCGGCUAACUCCGUGCCAGCAGCCGCGGUAAUACGGAGGGUGCGAGCGUUAAUCGGAAUUACUGGGCGUAAAGCGCGCGUAGGCGGCGUGAUAAGCCGGUUGUGAAAGCCCCGGGCUCAACCUGGGAACGGCAUCCGGAACUGUCAGGCUAGAGUGCAGGAGAGGAAGGUAGAAUUCCCGGUGUAGCGGUGAAAUGCGUAGAGAUCGGGAGGAAUACCAGUGGCGAAGGCGGCCUUCUGGACUGACACUGACGCUGAGGUGCGAAAGCGUGGGUAGCAAACAGGAUUAGAUACCCUGGUAGUCCACGCCGUAAACGAUGUCGACUA